GUCUGACUGGUCUUUCAGAGACUUCUUUUUUUCCCCUAAUAUCCAACCCAAACUUCCCCUCACACAACUUAAAGCCAUCACUUCUAAUCCUAUUGCGGUUUCUGCUCCCUGAUGAUCUCAGGCUGAAUUCUGAGCAGCAGAUGAAAGUGAAAGGCACCAUGUCCCACGACCACCCAGUCUCCUUGCCCACCCCAGCCCAUUUUGGAAUGCCAGAACAAACACUCCUUAAACAAUAAAACCUCUCUGGCUGAUGCAUGGCAGUGAGAUGCUGUGGGGCAUGGCAUAAGGCUGGGGCAGCAAAGUUCACUCACCUGGGAGCCCAUGUCAGGAAACAGGUGCCUUGUUGAACCCCUCAAAGAGGCAAAUGGGAGGCAUAUGUGCACUGAGCAUAGAAACUGCUCUGCCAUGCCCUUACUCAGCUAAAAAUGUUCCUGCUAAUCCUCAGCUUCCUGCUCCGGAUGGUGACUUCAGAGCCGGCAUCAGCAGCCAGGGCAGCAACAAACUGCACUCAGGCUGGAGGGCACCGGGGCCAUCCAUCCUGCAGGGCUUUAAGCCAAGGCAGAUGUCAGCAGCGGAAGCAGCGGCAGGAGAUGAAGCACGAAUAUGUAACAUGAGGUAAUCUUUUGCAGUGUUGACAAGCUGGGGUUGUCUAAUAAUUGGGUUAAGUAAUUAAUGCCCAGUCAACACCUAACAUAAUGAGCUGUUCAGGUUUCUGGUAGCUUGUUUCAUGGCUCAUAUUCUUGGUAUGAACGUUGUGACCUCUCUGCCUCCGCAAAGGUUAUUCUGUGUUGGAUCCUAGCACAGCUUCUUGUCACAGACCUCCUGGUUGUCCUCUGUUAUGCUCUCCACAUCACAGCAGAGCUCGACCUGGCCCUACAGUGCAAUUCUGAUCUGGAUUUGAAACUCCUAAAAUCCUCAGGAUAGAGGGACUGAAAAUCAACUCAUUCUUUUGGAUUUCCGCACUGUAACUCCAUCUUCAAGGGACAAAGAAUGCUACAACAGAGGAAUGAUUAGGACAUUAUCUGGCAGUGCUCCUAGUAAUGAAUUAUCAUCAUUUCUGACCAUAUAGGGUAUUAAAGCUCACAGUCCAAAACUGUUUUAUUAAGAAAGCAGGAUGAAAUCUAUAUUUUGCAUGUGAUAAAACUUUACAUUUGCAAGGUCUGAAAUGAACUUGUGGCUUUGUAUUGUAUUGAGAAAUUGCUUCUUGCAUUUUAACUUUUGUUUUGCAAAAUGCAAGGAAAGCACUUUUCAAAUCCUCAUCUAAUGCUCCUGGAGAAUUGAAAGCACUUAAAGAAGAAAAAGUGAGCUACAUAGGGCUGAUAUAACUUCUUGUUUGUAGCAGUAAAAGCAAAACUGGAUGGAUUCUGAUUUCCAGGAACGAUGCUUCAUUUUAUGAAAGAUAGAUGUAUAAAAUUGGGUACUUCCUGCUUUAGAAACAAAGCACAGUAAAGCUAAAACUGGAGCACUAAGCUAAGGUCUACUCUUUAUGGCAAAAGUGGGUUUGUUGUCCUACUUGUCAAAGCAAGAUUAAGAACUGCUGCGCUGUAGAUGCUUGGUUAUGAUAAGAUUGUGUCUGACUUACAACUAGAUGAAGAGUAUGAGAACUGAUCUCCUCUGUCCAAAGCCCGUAUUAAAGGUACUGGAAAUGGAAAAAAGAUUGUUUCCCCAUUUCAGGCAUGCAGUGCAUACAAAAUAAGUUUUCAUAGCAUCUAUGGAUGUAGAAGCUUGUUCAGCUAUAUAGCCAUUCUUUAAUAUCCUUCCUCAAGUGUCCUCAGAGGACAUUCUUCCUCCUGAGAUGGGAUUCUGUGAUUUUUUUCUUUUUCUUUGGUUGAAGGCUGACAUCUGGGAAUACAUGACAAACUCUUGUACUGCAUGGAUGUUCCAUUGACGCUAGGAGAUCAUCGUCAGCACAGUGCCUGUUACCAUAUCUCCUAGGUUUUGAACAUUCUAAGCUGGUCUGGAUACGGUUUGAACGUGCAGAAAACCUCAGGGUUCGUACAGCUCACUUAGCCAGGACACUGGGCAGUGUCAGCUUCAUCCCAGGACUCUGCUGCAAGCUUCCCAGCCUUGUGCAGCAUGUCUGAAGAUUCUUUCAAAUUUGUACAUGCUGACGUAAACAGAGCCCCUCACUGCAGAAAUAAAUACACAGAGAAUUUCUGGCAGUGUUUGAAAUGAUACAUAGUUUUGUGGUGACCUCUCCAUAGCAAGCAUAAAGCUCUAUCUCUGCUUGGCACCAAAUGAAAUGUUUGGCAUGACUUGAAACACCCUGAGAACCAAAGUCACCUCUUAAGGUCCUUGUCCCCACUGAUCCCUGCAGAAGCAGCGAAAAAGCAUCAUUGCUCUCUUUUUGAUCCAAGAGAAAUUGUACUAUGGAAAGGUUAAGUGAGUUGCUCAGGGCCACAUAGGAAAUCAAUAGCAGAACAGAACCUUCGAGCCAUAAUAACUAAACGUCCUGGACACACCCUUAAAGAAACGUAAAGGAGGUUUCAUCCUACUGCCAAGCAGGUGCUGAGCUUCCCCAGCCACACACUGAGCGCCCAGGGCUGUUGUGCAGCUCCAGCCCCACGCUGCAUCCACAGCUCUCCCACCUGAUGCCGCCCUGUGCUUUCAGCUCAUUUCCAGGAGUGCAGAAAAAAAAGAAACCCCUGGAGUUCAGCAGCAGUUUGACAGCAGCUGACCUUUAUAUAAUAAGCAAUGUUCCUCAGCAGUGUGCAUCAGCUUGCAUCAGUUUACAUUUAUUUUGCUUGUCUCUGGUAAGCAUCCUAAGUAAAACCAAUUGGAAGGGACAGGUGGGAUCUCAGCAUCUUGAAGUAAUCUGUAAGGAGCAGGCAGCAGAGUGUCAUUAGACAGCAGUUUCUACGAAUGGCUUUGAGGAAUUUGUCUGUGCUAAAGACUGUUCUCAUGUCAGAGGAUUGAGAAGGGCUCGGCUAGCAGGACUUUGUUUGUCUUGGAAGAUCUUUGGGGAAUCACAGGGUGAGUUGGAAGGGGCUGAUAGAAAUGACCCCAUCCCAUGAGCCCCUGGGAAGCUGCUGCUCUUCCAGCAUCCCUCUAUCUCUUCUGGUUAACUCCCUGUUAAAAAGUGAUGUCAUGGACUCAUCCUCACUGCAUUUAUCAAAGUAUGCAGCAUGUUUCUUACUGUAAAAAUGAUGAAAUGCCACCAAAAUUGGGGCAUGAUUUAGGGACAUAAAUGAAACUUGAAAACUUCAGCAAGGUGCUCUGCAUGCACAUGCUGGCUGACUGAGACACUGGACACUAAACAGUCUUUUAAAAGUCCUUAAAGGUGAAUUUGCCAGCAGCAGACCUUUGUGUGCUUAGCGUACUGCAGGCACCUGGAGCAGAGGCAGUGCCUGUGCUGAUGGAAGACAUCCACAUGUGGCACUCAGAGCUGUUUUGAUGAGACCAAAGUAUGUGCAGGCUAUGCUUAGCCUCCACAGUUCAAGGAGGUCAAAAACAUUCAUCAGACCUGGUCUUGAAACAUGGAGCAUUGAGAAGAAG
Long non-coding RNA from Tympanuchus pallidicinctus (lesser prairie-chicken), 3495 nucleotides. RefSeq lists it as uncharacterized. The record is from RefSeq and is a predicted model, not a curated record. The transcript has 5 exons. Lineage: Eukaryota; Metazoa; Chordata; Aves; Galliformes; Phasianidae.